Molecule: long non-coding RNA, 499 nt
Organism: Homo sapiens (human)
Lineage: Eukaryota; Metazoa; Chordata; Mammalia; Primates; Hominidae
Source: Ensembl
GGCCCACACUCCCCAAGAGCUACAUGGUUGUGGGGCCGUGUGGAGUGAAGAGGUCAGGAGGAGAACCAAGUCAAGGCAGAAAUGGGAUGAGUUACACCAUCAAACAUACCACAUGAAGCAUCGUCUCAAAUGGAUUUCCAGUGAAUUAAGAAAAACUUGGAUAUAAUAUUUCUUGUAUUUCCACUGAGCUCAUAAAAGCCCAGGUUUUAGUCUGAAAACAUUGCAGAUAGUAAGACAGUUGGAACUGAACUGACUGCCUAAGGAUUGCACCGAGCUCUGCCAGUACGGGCACAGGGUGGAAAAUGCAUGCACUUCAGAGGCUGCUGGCCUAGGGAGUCAGAAACAACUGGACUCAAAUCCCAGCUCCACCUUAAUAGCUAUACAACUUUGGAGAAGUUGUUCAGUCUUUCUGAACCUCAGUUUUCUCAUCUCUAAAAUGGAAUAACAAUUCUUCAGAGUUGUACUAAAUGAGUCAAUAAACGUAAAAGAAUAUAUUAAA